CGUCUAUAUACGUAUAGCAUAUCAAUAAGCGGAGGAAAAGAAACUAACUAGGAUUCCCUCAGUAACGGCGAGUGAAGCGGGAAGAGCUCAAAUUUGAAAUCUUCAAGGUUCUACCUUGACGAAUUGUAGUUUAAAGAAGUGUUUUCUGUUGGAGUUUUGGUAAAAGUUCUUUGGAAUAGGACAUCAUAGAGGGUGAGAAUCCCGUAUUUGACCAUUAUUUCCAACUUUGUGAUACACUUUCAAAGAGUCGGAUUGUUUGGGAAUGCAGUCCAAAAUGGGUGGUAAAUUUCAUCUAAAGCUAAAUACUGGCGAGAGACCGAUAGCGAACAAGUACCGUGAGGGAAAGAUGAAAAGAACUUUGAAAAGAGAGUUAAACAGUACGUGAAAUUGUCAAAAGGGAAGCGUUUGACACCAGUGUUGUUUUCUCGAAAAUCAAUUAAAAAUGGCUGGGAUUUUGUGUUGUAUUGACUUUAUCAGCUUUCUGCACUUUUUUCCUGUCUUUUUUAAUGCACUUUUCGUUUAACAAGUCAACAUCAAUUUCUUUUGUUGUAAAAGAGUCAUUGGAAGGUGGCUUUCUUUUCGGAGAAAGUGUUUAUAGCCUUUGACUUCUGCAAUCGGAGAGAUUGAGGUCUGCAGCGUAGAUCCUUCGGGGUUAGAUAGCAUUUGUGCUAAGCUAUAGCCUUUCAUAGACAACUUGUUGACUAUGAUCAGUCAUGUAGCUUACUCGCUUAUGUUAUUUUACCUACGCUUAGGAUGUUGAUCUGUAGUGCGUGCGC
This 776-nucleotide ribosomal RNA is filed under the name uncultured Neocallimastigales. RNAcentral describes it as "partial large subunit ribosomal RNA". It matches the Rfam family "Eukaryotic large subunit ribosomal RNA", at positions 26 to 635 of the family's 3401-position model. The record is from RNAcentral. Lineage: Eukaryota; Fungi; Neocallimastigomycota; Neocallimastigomycetes; Neocallimastigales.